GAGAAAAGCACAUAUACUAAAAUUGGAGCGAUACAAAGAUCAGCAUGGCCCUUGUACAAGAAUGACACCCAGUAUUUGUUUACUGUUCUUUU
Molecule: small nuclear RNA, 92 nt
Filed under: Mustela putorius furo (domestic ferret)
Lineage: Eukaryota; Metazoa; Chordata; Mammalia; Carnivora; Mustelidae
Source: RNAcentral